GACGAACGCUGGCGGCGUGCCUAAUACAUGCAAGUAGAACGCACAGUUUAUACCGUAGCUUGCUACACCAUAGACUGUGAGUUGCGAACGGGUGAGUAACGCGUAGGUAACCUGCCUGGUAGCGGGGGAUAACUAUUGGAAACGAUAGCUAAUACCGCAUAAUAUUAAUUAUUGCAUGAUAAUUAAUUGAAAGGUGCAAUUGCACCACUACCAGAUGGACCUGCGUUGUAUUAGCUAGUAGGUGAGGUAACGGCUCACCUAGGCGACGAUACAUAGCCGCACUGAGAGGGUGAUCGGCCAAACUGGGACUGAGACACGGCCCAGACUCCUACGGGAGGCAGCAGUAGGGAAUCUUCGGCAAUGGACGAAAGUCUGACCGAGCAACGCCGCGUGAGUGAAGAAGGUUUUCGGAUCGUAAAGCUCUGUUGUAAGAGAAGAACGGGUGUGAGAGUGGAAAGUUCACACUGUGACGGUAUCUUACCAGAAAGGGACGGCUAACUACGUG
This 505-nucleotide ribosomal RNA is filed under the name uncultured bacterium. Its description in RNAcentral is "partial 16S ribosomal RNA". It matches the Rfam family "Bacterial small subunit ribosomal RNA", at positions 28 to 507 of the family's 1533-position model. The record is from RNAcentral.